Long non-coding RNA from Sebastes umbrosus (honeycomb rockfish), 1986 nucleotides. RefSeq lists it as uncharacterized. The record is from RefSeq and is a predicted model, not a curated record. The transcript is spliced from 7 exons. Lineage: Eukaryota; Metazoa; Chordata; Actinopteri; Perciformes; Sebastidae.
GGAUGGGAUUUACUUCUAUCUGGGAGGUGGGGUGAUUUAAACGUAACGUUAACAUUGCCUGCCCUGGUUAUUUUAAUCCAGUCCUCAGGUCAUAUUUCAGGAGAGCAAGACCCCAUUGUAAGUUAGCUAAUGUUAGCUAACUGUGUACUCUGUCUGCUGGAUUAACGCAGCCAAAACGGCUUGUUUUUUUACAUUUUUCGUAGCUAUUUCAUCACUAAAUUCACUUCUGAACAUUUUUGAGGCGAGAAAUAAACUGUCGAUUUUGAAUAUUGACUGUUUUACAAUAUUAGAUGCCAAAUCGAACAUUUGCUCCACCGUUGUCGGAGUUUAAAAGCUCCACAAACUGCCGCGACAGCUAGCCAACGCCUGCCGGGGUUGCUACCUCACCAGCUGGGCAGUCAUGCUCACAGAGAGGCUACAGAGCAGCAGAGGGGUGAGGGAAAGAGCAGCCUCUGACGGAUGUUGGCAAUUCAUUAAUUUCCAAUUACAAGACAAAGGAUGAAGCCAUUUUUAGCUUGUUGUCAUAUUGUUGUUUCCCAGGGAGAAUGAUGAUGUAUGGUAGCGAACGUUGUAGCUCUUGUAAAAUAAGGAUCAGAGACUGUGACAAAACCUGACAGUGACUGCAUCACCACAAACACGACAGUCUAUGUGAAACUGGAUAAUAAUUGACUUUAAGGAUGUUCCAUAUAAUAGAGUUUCUGGAGAACAAAACUGUAGCAGUGGUGCCAGAAAACUGGUCACUGACGGUGUCACCUUUUGGCCAAACUACAAAAAUGAUGAAAGAGUCAACAGGGCAGUAAGGAAAGCUGAGGAGCCUGGACCUGACUGGCAGAGCUACGAUGUCAGAGUUGUUAAGUCAUGUGAUCAUUACUUUGAUGGCACGUCAUCUCUUAAAAAAAUCCCUGACGUGCAACACAUCAGAUUUACAGUCAGAAGAGGAAGAGGAGGAAGUUCAGUCAAAGAGAAGGCCAAAGCCGAUUCAUUUCUUUGGGGACUCCGAUGAUGACAGUGAGGAGGAAAGUCCUCUAAAAAAGAGAGCCAGAGGUCCAGCCAAACCCUCACCACAGCCACCAGCUCCCAUUAUCCCACCCCCACCUCGCUGUGUGCCAAGUAGCGUGACAGUUGCCCUUCCUCCACCCGUUGCUCCUCCUUCACCCACUCCACCAGCAGUAGAGCAAACCCCUUCUUCAAGCCAGGUCUACAGACCUACCUGGCGAGGGUGAAGGUGUGGAUCAGACACCAUGACCUGUUCGGCGGCAGAAGUCCAUAUUAUGAGCUUACUGGAGUAUAUAAAACACCAGCAAGAGCAAUUAAUUGCCAAAGUGAACUAUCUGACCAGCAAGAACCCAGCUGGCCAAGAAAUGGAAAGGCCUGUCCCUGUACAGUUUCCACUGGGAUCAAUGGAGGAAGUGGAGAAUUUUGAGGACUGGCUUAAAGAUCCUGCCAAUUCUCAGCUGAAGCAGAGGGUGAUUUCCUCCCUGGCAACCAUCGGGGGCCAUGACACAAAACGUGUUACAUGGAACAUCCUUGCCCACAUGUUCCAUGAUGAUGUUGGGAGGAGGAUAAAUUGGAAAGGGAUAAAUGGGGGAAAAAAAACCUUUCAGCCAGAUGGCAUCAAAGACGUUGCUCCUGAAUGCCGUGAGAAAGAGUGCCGUCUCCCGUGCAGCCACUGAUUCUGACAUUUCAAAGCACGCAAUACGGUGGUUCAACCUUGCUGCAGAUCGGGGGAGUUCGAGGAAGCGUGCCACUGUUGGCAUCCCUGCUGAGCCGACCGGUAUUUAACCCUCUGACUGUCUUUCAGAGGCUCUAGUAGGUUCAGGUUUAAGGCUAGAGUCAUGAGCUCAACAUCAACAACAGCCAAUCACAUUUGUUGCCUCCGUUGUUUUCAUACAGUUGAAUUUGCUGAUCCUCAUCAUCCUGUUAACCCUCUGAGACCCAACUUUACUGUCUUUCUGAGGCUGUAGCAGGUUCAGUUUUAGAGCUACA